GAGUUUGAUCCUGGCCCAGGACGGAUGCUGGCGGCGUGCCUAAUACAUGCAAGUAGAACGCACAGUUUAUACCGUAGCUUGCUACACCAUAGACUGUGAGUUGCGAACGGGUGAGUAACGCGUAGGUAACCUGCCUGGUAGCGGGGGAUAACUAUUGGAAACGAUAGCUAAUACCGCAUAAUAUUAAUUAUUGCAUGAUAAUUGAUUAAAAGGUGCAAUUGCACCACUACCAGAUGGACCUGCGUUGUAUUAGCUAGUAGGUGAGGUAACGGCUCACCUAGGCGACGAUACAUAGCCGACCUGAGAGGGUGAUCGGCCACACUGGGACUGAGACACGGCCCAGACUCCUACGGGAGGCAGCAGUAGGGAAUCUUCGGCAAUGGACGAAAGUCUGACCGAGCAACGCCGCGUGAGUGAAGAAGGUUUUCGGAUCGUAAAGCCCUGUUGUAAGAGAAGAACGGGUGUGAGAGUGGAAAGUUCACACUGUGACGGUAUCUUACCAGAAAGGGACGGCUAACUACGUGCCAGCAGCCGCGGUAAUACGUAGGUCCCGAGCGUUGUCCGGAUUUAUUGGGCGUAAAGCGAGCGCAGGCGGUUAGAUAAGUCUGAAGUUAAAGGCUGUGGCUUAACCAUAGUACGCUUUGGAAACUGUUUAACUUGAGUGCAGAAGGGGAGAGUGGAAUUCCAUGUGUAGCGGUGAAAUGCGUAGAUAUAUGGAGGAACACCGGUGGCGAAAGCGGCUCUCUGGUCUGUAACUGACGCUGAGGCUCGAAAGCGUGGGGAGCGAACAGGAUUAGAUACCCUGGU
Molecule: ribosomal RNA, 807 nt
Filed under: uncultured bacterium
Lineage: Bacteria
Description: bacterial SSU rRNA
Rfam family: Bacterial small subunit ribosomal RNA
Source: RNAcentral